This 468-nucleotide ribosomal RNA is filed under the name uncultured bacterium. RNAcentral's name for it is "partial 16S ribosomal RNA". It matches the Rfam family "Bacterial small subunit ribosomal RNA", at positions 28 to 507 of the family's 1533-position model. The record is from RNAcentral.
GACGAACGCUGGCGGCGUGCUUAACACAUGCAAGUCGAACGGAAAGACCCUGCUUUUGUGGGGUGCUCGAUUGGCGAACGGGUGAGUAACACGUGAGUAACCUGCCCUUGACUUUGGGAUAACUUCAGGAAACUGGGGCUAAUACCGGAUAGGAUCUCCUGCUGCAUGGUGGGGGUUGGAAAUUUUCGGCGUUUGGGGAUGUACUCGCGGCUUAUCAGCUUGUUGGUGUGGUAGUGGCUUACCAAGGCUUUGACGGGUAGCCGGCCUGAGAGGGUGACCGGCCACAUUGGGACUGAGAUACGGCCCAGACUCCUACGGGAGGCAGCAGUGGGGAAUAUUGCACAAUGGGCGGAAGCCUGAUGCAGCAACGCCGCGUGCGGGAUGCCGGCUUUCGGGUUGUAAACCGCUUUCGCCUGUGACGAAGCGUGAGUGACGGUAAUGGGUAAAGAAGCACCGGCUAACUACGUG